UAACCUCUGGCGAUAAUCGUGGAUGUUA
The submitters of this non-coding RNA (28 nucleotides) gave its source as unclassified sequences. The record is from Rfam.